RNA transcript from Catharus ustulatus (Swainson's thrush), 5898 nucleotides. It is a transcript of the gene named ArfGAP with RhoGAP domain, ankyrin repeat and PH domain 1, with no coding region annotated. The transcript is spliced from 34 exons. NCBI's taxonomy places the organism in Eukaryota, Metazoa, Chordata, Aves, Passeriformes, Turdidae. The record is from RefSeq and is a predicted model, not a curated record.
CAUUGUCCCAGGCUGGGCAGCCGUGAGGGCUGGCCAUGGACACCCCACAUCCCCUCUGCGUCCCCAAGCCCUCCCACUCUCCUCCUUACCCCCCACCAAGGCCUUGGGAAUUGUGUGGGGAGGCGAGAACGCCCCACACAACCCGUUUAUUAUUUUUUUGGGGAAAGUCCUGGCAGCCUUCCCCUUGAAUCCUGUUUCCAUGAGGCAGCCAAAGCUCCGUGCGGGAACAAGCCUGGGCCUGGCAAGGGGGGCCCUGAGUGCCCCCGCCCCGGGAAGCGCCCCGGCAUCCUCCGGGAGCCGCCGCUGCCACCAGACUGAGGUCCUGAUGUCAUCCUGAGCCUCGCUGGCAACGGAAGAUGCACUGAGUGGUGCGGGUUUCUGUGGCCAGCCCCCUGCCAUGGAGGAGGAGGGAUCUCUGCCGGUGGCCGCCUGGCUGUCUGCCCUCCACCUCGACCAGUAUGUGGAGAACUUCCAGCAAAGUGACCUGUGGUCAGUGUGGGACUGCCGGGCUCUGACGGACGAGAGGCUCACCCGCCUCGGGGUGCUGCUGCCCGGCCACCGCCGCCGCAUCCUCCUGGGGUUGCAGAAAGCCUUUGCUGAGGCCUCGCUGCCCGCCGGGACUCAGCAGCCCCCUGCCAGUAAACCUGUCCCCAUGAAGCGCCACAUCUUCCGUGUGAGCGCUGCAACAGGGCAGGAGCAGCCGGAGCCCCGGUGCCCGCCGGUGGCCGGUGGGACCCCACUGCUGGAGCCAGAGCGGGGUGCAAGCCUCACCCAGCUGCCCCCACCCAUUCCACCCAGGGUGGGCUGCCGUCCCCCCCUCAAAUUCUCAUCAUCGCUAUCUGGGGGCAGCCCCGAGCCCCCUCCUGCAUCCUGCAGCCAUCUCCCAGCCCUAGAGGAGCCCUCUCCACCGGUGCUUGGGGAGAAGCCCCCUGCUGACAGCAGGGCGAGACCCCCAUUGCCACCGCUGCCAGCCAAGCGACACCAACUGGAAACCAAGUGCCAGAGCCUGAAGGGCCCCCCACUGCCUGACCGCCCUCCCGAGCUCCCCCCAAGGGCUGUGUCCCAGAGGAGCACCCCUGCCAAAGAGGAGGUCCCCAUCACUGAAAGAGCACCCGGUGUCACCCUGUCCUCCCUGCCUUGCACGAAGGCGCCAGCCCCGACGCCACCAGCGCUGCCCUCCAAGGCCACCCUUCCCUUUGUGCCAGAGUUUGAUGACUCAGACUACGAGGACUCGGCGUGGGAGGAGGAAUUAGCCAGACCGGCGGGGGAGAUGGCCAAGGAGGAUGCUGAGCCUAGGACGAGGAGACCACGAUCCAUGCGUUGCAGCCUCUUCAGUGAAGAUGAGUUCGGCGAGGACCACCCCAGUGCAUCCCCUGCCAAUGGUGGCAGCAGCUGGAGUGACAGGGACCCCAGCCUGCACCCGUCUGCACCCGACACCUUCCCUGGCAGCAGCUCCGACACAUUCAGUGACAGCAUGGAGGGCACCAGUGCCACCGCCUCGCUGUCACCCACCAUCAGAGCAGGGUGGCUGGACAAGAACCCACCACAGGGGUCCUACAUCUACCAGAAGCGCUGGGUGAAGCUUGACGCUGACUACCUCCGCUAUUUUGACAGUGAAAAGGAUACCUACUCCAAGGGGCUCAUUCCCGUCUCCUCCAUCUCCCGCGUCUCCAGCAUUGGGGACCAGAAAUUUGAGGUUGUCACCAACAACCGCAACUUCGUGUUCCGGGCCGAGAAUGAUGCAGACCGCAACCAGUGGAUAAGGACCCUGCAGCAGAUUGCAGAGGAGCGGAAGAGCAAAGCUCCAGAGAGGACAUCGAUGUCCUUUGCCACCGACAGUGCCACUGAGCCAGCUGAUAAGAGUGGCUUCCUGGAGCUGCGGGGCUUUAAGCACAAGCUCUUUGUGGUGGUGGUUGGGGACAAAGUGUUCCUUUACAAGAAUGCAGAGGAUUAUCGGCUGGGGAUUGGCAUCACCUACAUUGAGAUGAAUGUGGGGAACGUCAAGGAGGUGGAUCGCCGGGGCUUUGACCUCACCACACCUUACAGGAUCUUCAGCUUCUCUGCUGACACGGAGCAGGAGAAGGAGGAAUGGGUGGAGGCCAUGCAGCAGUCCAUCGCUGAGGCACUCUCCAACUCGGAGGUGGCCGAGAGGAUCUGGGCAGCGGAGUCCAACCGCUUCUGUGCCGACUGCGGCUCCCCCAAACCCGACUGGGCCUCCAUCAACCUCUGUGUUGUCAUCUGCAAGAGAUGUGCAGGGGAACACCGGGGAUUGGGCCCGGGCAUCACCAAAGUCCGGAGCCUGAAGAUGGACAGGAAGGUGUGGACUGAGGAGCUGAUCGAGCUCUUCCAGCAGUUUGGCAAUGUGACGGCCAACCAGUUUUGGGCUGCAAAUGUGCCUCCCAGUGAGGCCAUCAGCCCCACCAGCAGCAGCCAGGAGAGGAGGCGCUUCCUCAUCGCCAAAUACCGGGAGGGCAAGUACCGCCACUACCACCCGCUCUUCGGCAACCAGGAGGAGCUUGACAGGGCUCUGUGUGCGGCUGUCACCACCAGUGACCUGGCAGAGACGCAGGCUCUGCUCUUCUGUGGGGCAUCGGUGACCUGUGACACCGGGGACCCUCAGUGCCCAACGCCCCUGGCCCUGGCUGAGAGAAGUGGGCAGCGGCUGCAGAUGGAGUUCCUGCUCCACAACAAAACCUCAGAGCCGCCACGCCUGGAGAUGGUGUGCAGUGAGGAGAAGCACUACUCUGUGCACCUACCCUCCAUUACCCACAAUGGCUUCCUCUACAAGACCCCCUCCAUGGUCAAGCCCAUCACUGAGCGGAAGGGCCCAGAAGAGUUCAGCCGGCGGUGGUGCACGCUGCAGGAUGGUGUGCUCAGCUACUAUGAGAACGACCGUAACACUGUGCCCAAUGGCGAGAUCAGGGUGGAGGAAAUUGUCUGCCUGGUGAACAACCCACUCCAUGCCCAUGGGUUCGAGAGCACGUUUGAGGUGUACACCGAGGCAGAUCGACUCUACCUCUUCGGGCUGGAGAGCCCUGACUCCGCUCGAGAAUGGCUCAAGUCUAUUGCCAAGUCCUUUGUCCACCCCUGUGCCGAGGAGCUGGUGGCACUAGACUUUGAGCGGCUUGGCCGACUGCAUUACAAAGGGGGUCUCACCCUGGAGCGUGCCCAGGAGGGCUGGUUUGCCCUGGUCGGCUCCACGCUCCAUGUCUGCUCCGAGGAUGGCCGUCGGCAGGAGCCUCUCCAGCUGCGCAAGCUGCAGGAGCUCUCCAUCCAGGGGGACCAUGAGGUUCUGGUGCUGGUGGAGAGGCGGAGGACACUGUACAUCCAAGGGGAGCGGAAGCUAGAUUUCCUGGGCUGGGUCCACGCCAUCCAGAAGGCUGCGGGCAGCGCGGGGGACACCUUGUCGGAGCAACAGCUGACGGAGUCGGACGUCCCACUGCUGGUGGACCGCUGCAUUGACUACAUCACCCAGUGCGGGCUGACGUCUGAGGGAAUCUACCGCAAGAGCGGGCAGAACUCCAAGACCACCAGCCUCCUGGAGGUGCUGCAGCGGGAUGCGCGCCGUGUCUGCCUGAAAGAGGGCGAGCACCAGGUGGACGAUGUGGCCAACACCCUCAAACGCUUCUUCCGUGACCUUGGGGAUGGGCUCUUCACUCGGCGGUGGGCCCCGGACUGGCUGUGGGCAACGGCGCUGGAGGAUGAGGAGGCAAAGAUUGGCAAGUACCGGCAGCUGCUGGCUGCCCUCCCUCCAGUGAACCGGGCCACGCUGAAGGCGCUCAUCAAUCACCUCUUCCGGGUCCAGUGCUUCUCUGGGGAGAACCAGAUGAACACACACAACCUGGCCAUUGUCUUUGGGCCCACACUCUUCCAGACGGAUGGGAAGGACUACAAGGCAGGACGUGUGGUGGAGGACCUCAUCAGUCACUAUGUGGAGAUCUUUAACGUCAAUGACCAAGAGAUGAAGAAGCAGCAGGAUGAAAUCACAGCCAUCAUGAAGAUGCGGGAGGCAUCAUCCAGUGGAACACAGCAAGCUGGGGACUUCAUCUGCACUGUCUACCUGGAGGAGAAAAAGACAGAGACAGAGCAGCAUGUCAAGAUCCCAGCCACAAUGACAGCUGAGGAGCUCACCUUUGAGAUCCUGGACCGGCGGAAAAUUGUCAUGAAGGAGAAAGACUACUGGAGCUGCUUUGAAGUGAAUGAGAGGGAAGAGGCAGAGCGGCCCUUGCACUACUCGGAGAAAGUUCUGCCCAUCCUGCACUGCCUGGGGACAGACAGUUACCUGGUGGUGAAGAAGCAGAUGUCCAUGGAGAACAUGCUCAUCUACCUUGCCAGCAGAGUGGGUGACUGCAAGCAUGGCAUGAUGAAAUUCCGGGAGGAAAGGAACCUGCUGGGACUUGGGCUGAGCACUGGCUUCCAUGAUCGCUACUUCAUCCUCAACCACUCCUGGCUGCGCCUCUACAAAGAAGUGCGGAGCCUGAGGCAGCGGAGCCCCCCCUUGGAGAGCAGUCACAAGCCAGAGAAGGAAUGGCCUGUCCGAAACCUGAAGGUCUACCUGGGUGUUAAAAAGAAGCUUCGACCCCCGACGUGCUGGGGCUUUACAGUAUUCUACGAAAACGAGAAGCACGAGAAGCAGCAAUGGUACCUGUGCUGUGACACCCAGGCCGAUCUGCGGGAGUGGUUUGCCACCUUCCUCCAGGUGCAGAAUGGGGGUGCCCUGUGGCCCUCGGAGCGUCCCAAGAUGCGGGUGGCACGGCCGCAGCAGGAUGCCAGGUUGGGUAACAUCUCCCUCAUCCCGCUGCGGGGCAAUGAGAGCGAGAUGAGGAACAGUGUGGCUGCUUUUGCUACUGACCCUCUAACUGUGAGUGAUCCAGGGACACUGGGUGACCCUCCAUGCGGGGCUGCAUCCCUCCUGCAUCACAUGAUGGGGGGGUCCUGGUCUCCAAACCUGGGUGGGGGGUAUCCUGGGCUCUCAUUCCUGCUCCCAUUAGUUGUGUACUGCAUCAUCUCCAGUGAUGGAUCUGGGGGGGCUAGCUGAUCCUUUGGGGGCUGGUGGGAUCUCCUGGAUUCAGAGGGGUCCCAAACCAUGUGAUGCAAAAAGAGGGGAUGCUGCCAUGCUCCUGAUUUUUCUCUAACAGGGGUGAGUUUUCUGUCUUGGUCACAGAUCAGCUCCCCAUCCUGCUGUCUUGUCUGUCUGCAACAGCUGUCCUGCCUGGGGACUGUCACCCAUCAAGUGUCCCUCAACCAUGCGGGUGCUGGUGCUGGACUUUUGCCCAGCCACGAGGCUGGUGGUGGGACAGAGAUGGUCCCACCACCUCCAAGACAAUCACUUGGGCCCUCGUUGCUGUUAUAAACCAGGAAACAGGGCUGUGCCAGGGGAAUCCCCCACCAGCAUCAGUUGGGCAUCACCCAGUGGGUGCUCAGGGAUGCUCCAAGGGCAGACAGUAGCAUAUUUGCUGUCUUGGAACCCCUGCACAGACUCAGGUUUAUAACUGAGGGCAGUGGAGAAGCCUCCAGGGGCUUUGCUGUGGGCUAUGCUUCACAGUGUGCUUGUAGUGGUGUGGUCUGGUACAGGCUACCAGCACACCAGGGCUCCCAGGGGACAGUGGGUGAGUGUCCCCUGCCACAGGGCCAGCAUGGGAAGGGGUGCUGGGACCGCAGUGACCCUGGGGCGACCAUGGUUUCUCUUGCUGGGGGUUUUCCCUGUGUCCCCCUGGGUGCUAUGCUGCCAGUGAUGCCCAGACACAGAGGAGGAGGAGGCUGAGGAUGAAAAGUGAUCUGUCUGCUCUUUGUCCCCAGCUUCUGCGGAACGUCUGAGCUGGAAAACUGACAUGCCAGUUCAUCUCCAAGUGGGGCAGCCCUCGGGGUACCGCACAAGCCCCGCACCCUGGCAUCUGC